RNAcentral lists this transfer RNA (83 nucleotides) under Paenibacillus oralis. RNAcentral describes it as "Paenibacillus sp. KCOM 3021 tRNA-Tyr". It matches the Rfam family "tRNA". Rfam says of the family: Transfer RNA (tRNA) molecules are approximately 80 nucleotides in length. Their secondary structure includes four short double-helical elements and three loops (D, anti-codon, and T loops). Lineage: Bacteria; Bacillati; Bacillota; Bacilli; Caryophanales; Paenibacillaceae. RNAcentral also lists the same sequence under 1 other name. The record is from RNAcentral.
GUGCCGAUGGGUGAGUGGUUGAAACCACCAGACUGUAAAUCUGGCCUGUAAAAAGCGCGCUGGUUCGAAUCCGGCUCGGCACA